Molecule: ribosomal RNA, 613 nt
Filed under: uncultured bacterium
Lineage: Bacteria
Description: bacterial SSU rRNA
Rfam family: Bacterial small subunit ribosomal RNA
Source: RNAcentral
CCUACGGGAGGCAGCAGUAAGGAAUAUUGGUCAAUGGAGGCAACUCUGAACCAGCCAUGCCGCGUGCAGGAUGACGGCCCUAUGGGUUGUAAACUGCUUUUAUACAAGAGAAAACCCUGGUACGUGUACCAGGUUGAUAGUAUUGUAAGAAUAAGCAUCGGCUAACUUCGUGCCAGCAGCCGCGGUAAGACGAAGGAUGCAAGCGUUAUCCGGAUUCAUUGGGUUUAAAGGGUGCGUAGGCGGACUGAUAAGUCAGUGGUGAAAUCUCUUUGCUUAACAAAGAAACUGCCAUUGAUACUGUCGGUCUAGAGUAUAGAUGACGUUGGCGGAAUAUGACAUGUAGUGGUGAAAUACUUAGAUAUGUCAUAGAACACCGAUUGCGAAGGCAGCUAACGAAACUAUAACUGACGCUGAGGCACGAAAGUGCGGGGAUCAAACAGGAUUAGAUACCCUGGUAGUCCGCACCGUAAACGAUGAUUACUCGUUGUUGGCGAUAUGACAGUCAGCGACCAAGCGAAAGCGAUAAGUAAUCCACCUGGGGAGUACGCCGGCAACGGUGAAACGUCAAAUGAAUUGACGGCGNGAGAGNGCGAGGACGACACGAGGGAGGAGG